GAUGAACGCUGGCGGCGUGCCUAAUACAUGCAAGUCGAGCGAACAGACGAGGAGCUUGCUCCUCUGACGUUAGCGGCGGACGGGUGAGUAACACGUGGAUAACCUACCUAUAAGACUGGGAUAACUUCGGGAAACCGGAGCUAAUACCGGAUAAUAUAUUGAACCGCAUGGUUCAAUAGUGAAAGACGGUUUUGCUGUCACUUAUAGAUGGAUCCGCGCCGCAUUAGCUAGUUGGUAAGGUAACGGCUUACCAAGGCAACGAUGCGUAGCCGACCUGAGAGGGUGAUCGGCCACACUGGAACUGAGACAGGUCCAGACUCCUACGGGAGGCAGCAGUAGGGAAUCUUCCGCAAUGGGCGAAAGCUUGACGGAGCAACGCCGCGUGAGUGAUGAAGGUCUUCGGAUCGUAAAACUCUGUUAUUAGGGAAGAACAAAUGUGUAAGUAACUAUGCACGUCUUGACGGUACCUAAUCAGAAAGCCACGGCUAACUACGUG
RNAcentral lists this ribosomal RNA (496 nucleotides) under uncultured bacterium. Its description in RNAcentral is "partial 16S ribosomal RNA". It matches the Rfam family "Bacterial small subunit ribosomal RNA", at positions 28 to 507 of the family's 1533-position model. The record is from RNAcentral.